Molecule: ribosomal RNA, 496 nt
Filed under: uncultured Streptococcus sp.
Lineage: Bacteria; Bacillati; Bacillota; Bacilli; Lactobacillales; Streptococcaceae
Description: partial 16S ribosomal RNA
Source: RNAcentral
CACGUAGUUAGCCGUCCCUUUCUGGUAAGCUACCGUCACAGUGUGAACUUUCCACUCUCACACCCGUUCUUGACCUACAACAGAGCUUUACGAUCCGAAAACCUUCUUCACUCACGCGGCGUUGCUCGGUCAGGGUUGCCCCCAUUGCCGAAGAUUCCCUACUGCUGCCUCCCGUAGGAGUCUGGGCCGUGUCUCAGUCCCAGUGUGGCCGAUCACCCUCUCAGGUCGGCUAUGUAUCGUCGCCUAGGUGAGCCAUUACCUCACCUACUAGCUAAUACAACGCAGGUCCAUCUUGUAGUGGAGCAAUUGCCCCUUUCAAAUAAAUGACAUGUGUCAUCCAUUGUUAUGCGGUAUUAGCUAUCGUUUCCAAUAGUUAUCCCCCGCUACAAGGCAGGUUACCUACGCGUUACUCACCCGUUCGCAACUCAUCCAAGAAGAGCAAGCUCCUCUCUUCAGCGUUCUACUUGCAUGUAUUAGGCACGCCGCCAGCGUUCGU